Molecule: ribosomal RNA, 429 nt
Filed under: Chloroflexota bacterium
Lineage: Bacteria; Bacillati; Chloroflexota
Description: Chloroflexi bacterium partial 16S ribosomal RNA
Rfam family: Bacterial small subunit ribosomal RNA
Source: RNAcentral
UGGGGAAUAUUGCACAAUGGGCGCAAGCCUGAUGCAGCCAUGCCGCGUGUAUGAAGAAGGCCUUCGGGUUGUAAAGUACUUUCAGCGGGGAGGAAGGGAGUAAAGUUAAUACCUUUGCUCAUUGACGUUACCCGCAGAAGAAGCACCGGCUAACUCCGUGCCAGCAGCCGCGGUAAUACGGAGGGUGCAAGCGUUAAUCGUAAUUACUGGGCGUAAAGCGCACGCAGGCGGUUUGUUAAGUCAGAUGUGAAAUCCCCGGGCUCAACCUGGGAACUGCAUCUGAUACUGGCAAGCUAGAGUCUCGUAGAGGGGAGUAGAAUUCCAGGUGUAGCGGUGAAAUGCGGAGAGAUCUGGAGGAAUACCGGUGGCGAAGACGGCCCCCUGGACGAAGACUGACGCUCAGGUGCGAAAGCGUGGGGAGCAAACAGG